CCCAGCCUCCCAGCUCCGCCCCGGGGCCGCCAUCCUCUGGGCCUCCACCCACCAGGCUGGGCACCUCUCGGAGCGCCUCCCCCCACUCCCGCCCCUCGGGAGCAGAAAGCCUGCCCGGAGUAAUCGGGGCACCCGAGCCCCGGGGCCGUGCCGGGCAGCCGACGGACCUGGGGGCGGGAUGCUCCGUUCUGCGGUAACUGCGGAGGCAGAUUGGAGCGGACCCGCGCUCUCCCGGUUGGAAUCUCCUCGAAAGAAAUAAAGAUCAGACUUCAACUGAAAGAGACUACUGCAGAGCUAAACCUUUUUAUGGAAGAAACAACACAAAUUCAUGAGUGAUGGGCCUUGUGACUCCAGUUGGAGAGAAUGUAAAUCAGAGAAUCCAUGUUGAGGAGGAACCUUAUGAAUAUAGUCAAGAAAAACCAGGACCAAACCAGUGGAUAGAUCACUUGUUCCCUGACCAUUGCCCUGCCCUGAUCCCUUAAGAUGUAGACACAUGGGAGUAUUUCUUAACAGGUCAUCUCAG
Molecule: long non-coding RNA, 523 nt
Organism: Sarcophilus harrisii (Tasmanian devil)
Lineage: Eukaryota; Metazoa; Chordata; Mammalia; Dasyuromorphia; Dasyuridae
Exons: 3
Source: RefSeq, a predicted model, not a curated record